CACACACUGCACAGGCACUACACCCACUACAUGCACUGCACCCACUACAUGCACUACACACACUGCACCCACUACAAAGACACUGCAUCCACUAUGCACACUGCAACCACUACACACAUUUCAUCAACCUGCACAAACACAGAUACUUCACACACUCAGGGUUGGCCAUAAGAUGGCACAUUAGGGUGCAUCAGUCAGGGCUUCAAUAUCCGGGCCAUGGGUGAGCGACAGGAGGAGCGCACACAGAGCUCCACCUCCUGCAGAUCACUUCAUGUAGCGUGACUGAGCAGACAAUUGUGGCCGUGGUUUUGGUUGUACGGGGGCAGCAUUUUAUCUUUGGACCCAG
Non-coding RNA from Pelobates cultripes (western spadefoot toad), 346 nucleotides. The record is from the annotation of a GenBank genome assembly. Lineage: Eukaryota; Metazoa; Chordata; Amphibia; Anura; Pelobatidae.